Molecule: ribosomal RNA, 460 nt
Filed under: uncultured bacterium
Lineage: Bacteria
Description: partial 16S ribosomal RNA
Rfam family: Bacterial small subunit ribosomal RNA
Source: RNAcentral
CCUACGGGAGGCAGCAGUGAGGAAUAUUGGUCAAUGGACGAGAGUCUGAACCAGCCAAGUAGCGUGAAGGAUGACUGCCCUAUGGGUUGUAAACUUCUUUUAUAUGGGAAUAAAAUGUUCCCCGUGUGGGAUUUUGUAUGUACCAUAUGAAUAAGGAUCGGCUAACUCCGGGCCAGCAGCCGCGGUAAUCCGGGGGAGCCGAGCGUUAUCCGGAUUUAUUGGGUUUAAAGGGAGCGUAGGUGGAUUGUUAAGUCGGUUUUGAAAGUUUGCGGCUCAACGGGAAAAUUGCAGUUGAUACUGGCAGUCUUGAGUACAGUAGAGGUGGGCGGAAUGUGUGGUGUAGCGGUGAAAUGCUUAGAUAUCACGAAGAACUCCGAUUGCGAAGGCAGCUCACUGGACUGCAACUGACACUGAGGCUCGAAAGUGUGGGUAUCAAACAGGAUUAGAUACCCUUGUAGUC